Molecule: ribosomal RNA, 336 nt
Filed under: Triticum aestivum (bread wheat)
Lineage: Eukaryota; Viridiplantae; Streptophyta; Magnoliopsida; Poales; Poaceae
Description: partial small subunit ribosomal RNA
Source: RNAcentral
AUGCUGAAACAAGCGAUGGUGAGCACACCAGUGCUAGCGCUUCCAGAUUUCUCUCGCCCUUUUGCCAUUGAGACUGACGCGUGCGACACGGGAGUGGGGGCGGUGCUCACCCAGGACGACCACCCUGUUGCCUAUCUCAGCAAGGCUUUGGGGAUCAAGAACCAGAAGUUGUCCACGUAUGAAAAGGAGUUCUUGGCCGUUAUGAAGGCCAUUGACGAGUGGAGACCUUACCUGCAGCGGGCUCCGUUUGAAAUCCUCACCGAUCACAAGAGCCUCUGCAUGCUCGGGGAUCAACAGCUGGUGACUGAGCUGCACGCAAGGCCAUGUCCAAAAUGA